GCCUGGGUGGCUCAGUUGGUUGAGCGUCUAACUUUGGCUCAGGUCAUGAUCUCAGUGUGUGAGUUCAAGCCCCACGUCAGGCU
Transfer RNA from Felis catus (domestic cat), 83 nucleotides. It matches the Rfam family "tRNA". From Rfam's summary of the family: Transfer RNA (tRNA) molecules are approximately 80 nucleotides in length. Their secondary structure includes four short double-helical elements and three loops (D, anti-codon, and T loops). The record is from Rfam. NCBI's taxonomy places the organism in Eukaryota, Metazoa, Chordata, Mammalia, Carnivora, Felidae.